UGCUCCCAGCUCCAGCGUGCCUUCCU
RNAcentral lists this non-coding RNA (26 nucleotides) under Rattus norvegicus (Norway rat). The record is from RNAcentral. Lineage: Eukaryota; Metazoa; Chordata; Mammalia; Rodentia; Muridae.